GUCUCUUCGGAGAUACUCGAGUGGCGAACGGGUGAGUAACACGUGGGCGAUCUGCCCUGCACUUCGGGAUAAGCCUGGGAAACUGGGUCUAAUACCGGAUAGGACCACGGGAUUCAUGUCCUGUGGUGGAAAGCUUUUGCGGUGUGGGAUGGGCCCGCGGCCUAUCAGCUUGUUGGUGGGGUAACGGCCUACCAAGGCGACGACGGGUAGCCGGCCUGAGAGGGUGUCCGGCCACACUGGGACUGAGAUACGGCCCAGACUCCUACGGGAGGCAGCAGUGGGGAAUAUUGCACAAUGGGCGCAAGCCUGAUGCAGCGACGCCGCGUGGGGGAUGACGGCCUUCGGGUUGUAAACCUCUUUCACCAUCGACGAAGGUUCGGGUUUUCUCGGAUUGACGGUAGGUGGAGAAGAAGCACCGGCCAACUACGUGCCAGCAGCCGCGGUAAUACGUAGGGUGCGAGCGUUGUCCGGAAUUACUGGGCGUAAAGAGCUCGUAGGUGGUUUGUCGCGUUGUUCGUGAAAUCUCACGGCUUAACUGUGAGCGUGCGGGCGAUACGGGCAGGCUAGAGUACUGCAGGGGAGACUGGAAUUCCUGGUGUAGCGGUGGAAUGCGCAGAUAUCAGGAGGAACACCGGUGGCGAAGGCGGGUCUCUGGGCAGUAACUGACGCUGAGGAGCGAAAGCGUGGGGAGCGAACAGGAUUAGAUACCCUGGUAGUCCACGCCGUAAACGGUGGGUACUAGGUGUGGGUUUCCUUCCUUGGGAUCCGUGCCGUAGCUAACGCAUUAAGUACCCCGCCUGGGGAGUACGGCCGCAAGGCUAAAACUCAAAGGAAUUGACGGGGGCCCGCACAAGCGGCGGAGCAUGUGGAUUAAUUCGAUGCAACGCGAAGAACC
Molecule: ribosomal RNA, 895 nt
Filed under: Mycobacterium marinum
Lineage: Bacteria; Bacillati; Actinomycetota; Actinomycetes; Mycobacteriales; Mycobacteriaceae
Description: bacterial SSU rRNA
Rfam family: Bacterial small subunit ribosomal RNA
Source: RNAcentral